RNAcentral lists this ribosomal RNA (507 nucleotides) under uncultured bacterium. Its description in RNAcentral is "partial 16S ribosomal RNA". It matches the Rfam family "Bacterial small subunit ribosomal RNA", at positions 30 to 523 of the family's 1533-position model. The record is from RNAcentral.
AUUGAACGCUGGCGGCAGGCCUAACACAUGCAAGUCGAGCGGCAGCGGGAAAGUAGCUUGCUACUUUUGCCGGCGAGCGGCGGACGGGUGAGUAAUGCCUGGGAAAUUGCCAGUCGAGGGGGAUAACAGUUGGAAACGACUGCUAAUACCGCAUACGCCCUACGGGGGAAAGCCGGGGACCUUCGGGCCUUGCGCGAGUGGAUUUGCCCAGGUGGGAUUAGCUAGUUGGUGAGGUAAUGGCUAACCAAGGCGACGGUCCCUAGCUGGUCUGAGAGGAUGAUCAGCCACACUGGAACUGAGACACGGUCCAGACUCCUACGGGAGGCAGCAGUGGGGAAUAUUGCACAAUGGGGGAAACCCUGAUGCAGCCAUGCCGCGUGUGUGAAGAAGGCCUUCGGGUUGUAAAGCACUUUCAGCGAGGAGGAAAGGUUGAUGCCUAAUACGCAUCAACUGUGACGUUACUCGCAGAAGAAGCACCGGCUAACUCCGUGCCAGCCGCCGCAGUAA